UACGAAGGGGGCUAGCGUUGUUCGGAAUUACUGGGCGUAAAGCGCGCGCAGGCGGUUUUUCAAGUCAGUGGUGAAAGCCCGGAGCUCAACUCCGGAAAUGCCAUUGAAACUGUUAAAACUUGAGGAUGAGAGAGGUGAGUGGAAUUCCCAGUGUAGAGGUGAAAUUCGUAGAUAUUGGGAGGAACACCAGUGGCGAAGGCGGCGAUCUGGGAAGAUACUGACGCUGAGGUGCGAAAGCGUGGGGGAGCAAACAGG
Molecule: ribosomal RNA, 255 nt
Filed under: uncultured bacterium
Lineage: Bacteria
Description: partial 16S ribosomal RNA
Rfam family: Bacterial small subunit ribosomal RNA
Source: RNAcentral